This 252-nucleotide ribosomal RNA is filed under the name uncultured bacterium. RNAcentral's name for it is "partial 16S ribosomal RNA". It matches the Rfam family "Bacterial small subunit ribosomal RNA", at positions 524 to 776 of the family's 1533-position model. The record is from RNAcentral.
UACGAAGGGGGCUAGCGUUGCUCGGAAUCACUGGGCGUAAAGCGCACGUAGGCGGCUUGUUAAGUCAGGGGUGAAAUCCUGGAGCUCAACUCCAGAACUGCCUUUGAUACUGGCGAGCUUGAGUUCGGGAGAGGUGAGUGGAACUGCGAGUGUAGAGGUGAAAUUCGUAGAUAUUCGCAAGAACACCAGUGGCGAAGGCGGCUCACUGGCCCGAUACUGACGCUGAGGUGCGAAAGCGUGGGAGCAACAGGG